This 6119-nucleotide unclassified non-coding RNA is filed under the name Leishmania donovani. RNAcentral describes it as "gene:LdHU3.31.0510(CDS-product:calpain-like_prote in_putative)". Lineage: Eukaryota; Euglenozoa; Kinetoplastea; Trypanosomatida; Trypanosomatidae. The record is from RNAcentral.
GGCCCCACCGUACAACACUGAACAGAGUACUCGUCUCAUCCGCCCCUCUCUCUUCCUCGUGUUCGUCUGCGCCAACCCUGUGAGAAGGUGGUGCUGUGAAAGCACCACCGCACCCCAUUCUUUGUUGGCCCGGUGUACAUUCGCUUACUGGCGCAGCGACUGCGUGGGUAGGGAAAGCACAGGCACACUUCCCCCGACGUAUCUAGACAUAGGGGCGCGCUGAGACGCCUCCCCUUAUACUUCCGUCAACGCCCUCCCUCAGCACACACACACACACACCAACUCCCUUACUUUCGCUCUCUUCGCAGCUGUACAGUUGCUGGCCGAAACGCGUGGCUGCGCGUCGUUGCUGAGGGGCCACACCCACUGACGAAGGGCGCCCUGCGCUGUUGCACUGCGAGUAGCACCAUAGCCUGCCCCAACGCCGCCAUCACUGCUGCCGCUCAUCUCGCGCCACCUGCCUUCUACUCCAUGUAUACAGUUGUCGGUCAUUGUGCAAUCUCUUUCUGCUUAGUCUAACCUUUGGAAGAUGGAUUACUUGAGCUCAUCUUUCGCUCUCGCCUGCCUGCUUCCCCCCUGUUACUUGGUCUCCCUGACGCACCCAACGAGGCAUCCAUUACGCAUACGCACUCCGCCACACACGCACGCCACUCUGCGCACAAAGAGAUCGCGGGUCGUACUUGUUUUAGCUUCUCUCGCCCCCGUCUGUGCGUAGCUGCGUGAGGGUGGAGGGGAGGAGAGUGCGCUCGUUAGGCUCUUAUUGCUUGUUUGUGCAUACAUAUAUAUGUGCAUAUCUCUGUCUGUCGUUUGAUAUGAUCUGCCAGCUGGGGCGCACGUGCACAUAGUACCCAAGCCUGUGCGUCUACGUCUCUCCUUUUCGGAGUCUCCUUGCUCUCCCCCGCCUCUCCGGUGUCUCAGUGGUGUCUCACCAACCAAAAGAGGGGACGGAGGGGGCCUCCUAUCAUCGGCAUCACUCUUCUCUUUCUUGCUAGCUUGUUCCGUUCGUGCCCCCCCCAUUUUUUCCCCUGUGUAGUUGCACUCCCCGUAUUCUUGCUGUUCCUCUUGCACUGCUCAUCUCUUCUUCUGGCCCCUUCCCGGCCGACUCUGACCUCCGUCGUGCCGCCCAUGCUUGAGAGCAGCUGUUUGUGUGCGCCGUUUUCAUUUUUUUUUCACCCGCUCAGCAGCAGCCUGCGUCGACGCGUAGCCCCGCGGACGCUCCCCCCUCCUCUCCCCCGUCUCAUGCGCAGUAGAGAAAGCAUACACAGGUAGCGUCAGCAUGCCAAAGAUACCGCUUGCUGUAGUGUCGACAUCAUCCGAUGACUCGGAGAUGUCCUACAGCGACCCGGUCGGGGCCUUUAAGGGUGCGAAUUGGGCCGUCAUGAACAUUGACAGCUUCGACUCUCUGCCCUUCUCAGAGGUUUCGCAUUCCCCGUACGGGGUGGACUCGAACUUUCUCGACUCUGUGUCCCGCGUAGGCUCAGCAGGGUACCGCCCCAGUCCCAGUGUGGCUUCUGCUCUAGAUCGCCAGGACACCGUUAUGACGCCUCUGAAGCCCGGCAUGUUGAGCCCUCUCCCCGGCAUUUCACGAGGGUUCCGGCUCCAUGGCAAUGAUCAGUCCAUAAGCACCACCGAGGUGAGCGGUGCCAUGGUGGCCGGCCUUCCUGCCGUGCCGACGCACUUUACGCCAAAGGGCAGCGACGCCCUUGCUUUGCACCCGAGGUUGUGUGGCGCCGGCGGGGCACCGGGGGCCGCCUCUGCCGCGGAGGUGGCUCGUAACCGUAAGAAGAAGCAGAAGCCGCCGCCGCACCGCACCCGGUCGUUGCAGAUCGAGGCUGCUAAGUGGCUGGAGGAUGAUUGCAGCACGGAAGCGCUGGUACUGCGCGAGGUCUCGCAGCGACGACCAGUCAGCCCAAUGACAGACGCCGAAGCGGACGAUGUCCUGUCUUUGAGCUCGUCAGGGGCUACUGGACUACUGACCCUGCCGAUUCAGGGCAUGGCACCGCCGUCGAGCAUCGCUACAGGACUUGAGACUGCCGUUACGAAACAGACCGCCUUGCCCACAGCGGCUCCGAAGGUGAACAAGGAGGUCACCCGCGGGCCCCCGACAAACCGCACAGAAGGAGAAAGAGCGCCACCCGUGGCUGCCAGCAGCGCCAACGAUCCUGCACCUUUCAUGGCAGCACCGGCGACGACGGGUGAUCGCCGCCCCGUUGGCCAGAGAGGCGCAACAGCAAACUCGCCUCUGAGGCGGGCCGCCCGUGUCAACAUGGUGCCGACGCGGCGCAUUGCCCCUUUAGACGGCAAGAAAGGGCCAGAAACUGAUGUGCGAAGGGACUCAGCGGCAGCCGCCACAGUCCGGCGGCAGCCUGAGACGCAGCAGUCGCAGUCUCCAGGCACUACCCUACCGACUGAUAUGCCGUCGUUGAUUCGCGCGGGGACCCUUUCGCCUUCCAAAAGGAAUGCAAAGGCUGCAACGAUUACCGAUGCGACACCACCCUCGUCCGCCGCGAACGGCUUUGCACAAGCACCCCCCGCUGCCAUGGCGGAACGAUGGCAGGCGGCGAAGGGCCAGCUCCACGAAUCCAGACAGGCAGCGAGUGGUCAGCGGUCAAACACGUAUGUUGAGGCGCCGACAGCUGGUGCGCAUGGCGCUGAUGAUAUCAACGGAGAGCCGACCAGUCUCCCAGACUCGCGGCCGACGGUUUUGUCCCUGGACACCAUUGCAAUGCUGUCAACGCGGGCUAGGAAAACCACUGCCCUUCCGCUGCAGCAGCCGUCACUGGACAGAAGCACGAAGCAGCGGACGCGCCCCCGAAGAACCAGCUUCGCCUCGACAGCAAUACCGGAAACGAUCAGUGAGGCGAGUUGUGUUGCUGGCGAGACGGCGGAAAAAGAGGCCCCACACGCUUCACCUGGACGCAGGAGGCGGCAUCACUCAGUGGAGUCAUUGGAGAUGAGCGCGACAAAGGCAGCGAUCACAGAAUCCUCAUCGAACCUCGCGGCGGCCUCGGUUGUGCCAGAGGAGCGGCCCGAGACGCGGCAGUACGGUCUUACCGACAGCCUGCACAUCUCGCCUGCCAACCGCAUGGCCGCAGAGAAGUUGGUGGCCUUUGUGCAGGCCGUCUCCGAUCCGGAGGUGCUGCACGUCAUCUACGACUACCUCGAGGAGCAUGAGAAAGCGGUGCCGCGCUACUGCCUCGCCACGAAGGCGUGCCGUGAGCUUCUGGAGCGCAAAGAAGAGAUGCUGAUGGCUUGCUUGUCCACCAGCGGCGGUGCUCACGAGUCAUCACAGCACAGUGCAGUUGGUGCCCGCCGUCCCCGUAGUGUUUCAGUGCCGCAGCUCGUGGACUCGCCAGACAAGAAGGCGGAGACAGCAAGGGCAGGGGAAGGCCUGACGGAGGCGCAGCGCCUCUUGCAGCAGAUUGAGGAGACGGACGGCUGUGACAAGGGAGACGACGAUGAUGCCGAUAUGGAUGAGUUUGAUGACCUCAAUUACUUCCCGGCGCCCUACACACCAUCCAGCCGCUUCAAUUUUGGACAGCCGAGCGUCUCCGGUCUCGUCACUCGGGUUUUUUCGGAGGGCAUGCUGUACAAGAUCAAGACCCCAAAAGGCGAGUACCACUUCUACAACGAUACCCUGCAGGAGGUGAUGGUUGUACGCGUGCAGUGCCAUCUGCGCGGCAACGAGAAGAUCAACGAACGUGCCAUGCUCUCCCCCGUCGCCAGUACCGGCGAGACGGAGAUUACGAUCGCCGUAUUGCCGGAGGAGACGAACUUUUUCAUGAGUGGGGUGGCGCAUAUGCCUCACUUCAUGGCAAAGCGAGUGCCGGUGCCGCGCGAUUACGUCUCGCCGUCGGUGACGCAGUCGCUGCGCAAGAUCAACGCCGAGAUCAACGCUGUGCGCAAGGCACUUGGCAAGUGGAGCCGAGCCUCCGACCAGCAGGCGUACCUGAAGUGCUGUCUCAAGAACAACCUCCGCUUCACAGACCUCAACUUCCGCCCGAGUUCGGAGAGCCUGUAUCGCCCUGAGUUCGACGCGGUCGUCAUACCGGCCGUCACAUGGCGGCGGCCGGAGGAGUACAUCUACCUGGCCGAGGUGUCGCAGACGCGUCUAUUCCGCGGCGAGAUUUCGUGUUUCCUGGUGAAGCAGGGUGACCUGAGCAACCACACGGUGGUGGCUGCGAUGGCGGCGGUGGCGCAGUUCCCGGCCCAUGUGCGGUGGAUGUUCCGCCACCCCGUGAGCGCGCACGUGGGCAAGAUGGAGAGGUCGCAGGGCUGCUACCGAGUGACGCUGCUGCACAAUGGGUGGUGGCACACCUACCUUGUCGACGACUACGUGCCUGCGUCGCUGAGAGGACCGCUGUUUGCGAGCUGUGCCGAGGACCCGCGCCGGCUGUGGGUGCAGCUGCUCGAAAAGGCGUAUGCCAAGUCGCUUGGCUCAUACGCGGCGACGUGCCUCGUCGACGCCAUGGAGGCCCUCGGCGACUUCACUGGAUUCCCCGUACGCUUUCUCGACUCCAUGUGGGCGGCCGCCGCGCAGGGGCCGAGGGAUGGCGCGUUCCGGUCGCUCUUUCGCUACCUCGAGCUCUGUGUCCGGGCCGGCUGCACGGUGCUUCUCUUCUCUCCGCCCCCCACCGACGAGCAGUCGAGUGCGACCGUGGACAUGUCCCGCAAGCGUUCCUCGCGUAUCAUGCCGGUGAAGGGCGCGGUGCCGCAGUUCCUGCCCGGCCACAUCUACUUCCUGCGCGACGUCGCCUUCUACGAGGCGCUAGAUCUGCGCAUGGUCCAGCUGAAGAACCCGUGGACGUGGGAGACAAAAAACAAGAUCCACUACGAGAAGAAGUGGAGGUACACGACGUGGUACGACCAGCCCGACCCCAGCCUCAGUGCCAUUGCGUCCGCCACGACGAGCCUGCACGGACAGGUGUGCUCCCGCGUUCUGGCCUCGCACGCGCUCAGCCCUAGAGCCUGUACGGACUUGUCACCGGAGGCGGUCGCUCUAAACGAGCGCAAGGGCACGAUGUGGGUAGAAUGGGGGGAGGCGCUGACGGCGUUUGCGGGCGGCGGCGUGUGCUACACCAUGUGGGACCGACACCGGUACCGUGUGCGGAACGCCUUUGUGGAGGGCCGACCACGGCUGGCGCUUGAGCUGAAGGCGCGGCGCAAAGUGGAGCUGCUCGUGACGCUUUCGCUGGAGACGGUGAGCGAGACGCUCGACAACUUCGGCACCGUCGUCGCUGCCCGUCCCAUCCCGCUCCACGGCACGGCGCUCGCGGUGGUGCACCGACAGGCGAACCAGUCGGCGAAGGUGGUCCGUGAGUCCUGCGACGACAUCGAGAGCGUGACAGGCUGCCGAACAUACGUCGUGGCGCGUGAUGUGUCCAUAAAGGUGGUCGUUGAGCCGAGCACGAGUAGCAACGGCGCCGCCGUACUGGUUGUCCCGCUGCUCGAUCCAAGCGCCGUUAGCGCUGCCGCCGUCGGCGCCGGCAGCGGAUCCUCCUCGAGCGCCGCCUCGAUAGCCGCUGCGCCCGAGGUACGGUUUGUCGUGUCCAUCGUCAGCGACGCCGUUGCGGGGGACGGGGAGGAUUUGUCCGUCCACUUUGUGUCGCUGCGGCGCAGCUGCGGCGUCUUCACGGACUCAACCACGGCGUUCCCACUGGAGGGCGCCUCGCGCGUGACAGCACAGUACCAAGUGUGCACCAAGGCAGGCGUUGCGACGUGCGAGGGGUCUCGCAUCUCUGGCAACGAAACGAAGGGUAUGUGAAUAUGGCAUUCGCUGUGGUGUUUUGUUCCGUCUCUGUGCAUUCACAUGAACACAGCACUCUAGGAGCAUCCUCGUUCCGACACCUCCCUUUGAGACGUCGCUGUCGGCGGCGGGGGAUGGUGAGUAGACGCACGCCGUGGUCCCCCUGAUUGACACCACACGCGUACGCUACGCUGCCCUGGAAAGUCGGGGAGAUACGACUGUGCUCUCGCUGUGGCUGUUGUGGCUCCUUAUCUUGUCUACCAUUCGCUUAUCCUUUUCUGUUGUUGUGAUUUUCCGUAUUUCUUUUCCUUUCAUGUGCUGCCGUUCUCUCUUCGCCCCGCCUCUCGCCUCUCUUGCUCUCUCUACCCCCUCC